CCUACGGGUGGCUGCAGUGAGGAAUAUUGGUCAAUGGGCGCGAGCCUGAACCAGCCAAGUAGCGUGAAGGAUGACGGCCCUACGGGUUGUAAACUUCUUUUAUAAAGGAAUAAAGUGAGGCACGUGUGCCUUUUUGUAAGUACGUUAUGAAUAAGGAUCGGCUAACGCCGUGCCAGCAGCCGCGGUAAUACGGAGGAUCCGAGCGUUAGCCGGAUUUAUUGGGUUUAAAGGGAGCGUAGAUGGGUUGUUAAGUCAGUUGUGAAAGUUUGCGGCUCAACCGGAAAAUUGCAAUUGAUACUGGCAGUCUUGAGUACCGUAGAGGUAUGCGGACUUCGUGGUGUAGCGGUUAAAUGCUUAGAUAUCACGAAGAACUCCGAUUGCGAAGGCAGUUCACUGGACUGCAACUGACACUGAUGCUCGAAAGUGUGGGUAUCAAACAGGAUUAGAUACCCUUGUAGUC
This 460-nucleotide ribosomal RNA is filed under the name uncultured bacterium. RNAcentral describes it as "partial 16S ribosomal RNA". It matches the Rfam family "Bacterial small subunit ribosomal RNA", at positions 338 to 795 of the family's 1533-position model. The record is from RNAcentral.